This 468-nucleotide ribosomal RNA is filed under the name uncultured bacterium. RNAcentral's name for it is "partial 16S ribosomal RNA". It matches the Rfam family "Bacterial small subunit ribosomal RNA", at positions 28 to 507 of the family's 1533-position model. The record is from RNAcentral.
GACGAACGCUGGCGGCGUGCUUAACACAUGCAAGUCGAACGGAAAGGCCCUGCUUUUGUGGGGUGCUCGAGUGGCGAACGGGUGAGUAACACGUGAGUAACCUGCCCUUGACUUUGGGAUAACUUCAGGAAACUGGGGCUAAUACCGGAUAGGAGCUCCUGCUGCAUGGUGGGGGUUGGAAAGUUUCGGCGGUUGGGGAUGGACUCGCGGGUUAUCAGCUUGUUGGUGGGGUAGUGGCUUACCAAGGCUUUGACGGGUAGCCGGCCUGAGAGGGUGACCGGCCACAUUGGGACUGAGAUACGGCCCAGACUCCUACGGGAGGCAGCAGUGGGGAAUAUUGCACAGUGGGCGGAAGCCUGAUGCAGCAACGCCGCGUGCGGGAUGACGGCCUUCGGGUUGUAAACCGCUUUCGCCUGUGACGAAGCGUGAGUGACGGUAAUGGGUAAAGAAGCACCGGCUAACUACGUG